GGAGGGAGUGUGUGUCAUAUCUUGUUGAAAUGCCUUUGGUCAUAUUUCAGAGGAAUCUGUCUCUGCUGGCACCAUGAAAUUAUUCGCCUAGCCCCUGCGCAAGAAAAAAAUGCUAGUUAGAGGCCGACUGCUUCCUUCUGAACGAUCAAACUUGUCAUGCCACCAUGUCUGCCGUGUGCCCACUUAUGCUGGGAAUGUGUUGUUGGAGUCUGGAAGAAUGACGGGGGAGUUGCUCUUCAUGACGGGAGAGGAUGAAAAAGCUGCUCUGAUGUCUCACGGACGUGACAGCGGAUCUGAUGAAAAAAUGUGCAGUGAUGAUAAUGCAAUGUUAAAUGGCUGAACAUUUCUG
This is a long non-coding RNA of Cyprinus carpio carpio, 349 nucleotides long. NCBI's taxonomy places the organism in Eukaryota, Metazoa, Chordata, Actinopteri, Cypriniformes, Cyprinidae. The record is from Ensembl.